RNAcentral lists this ribosomal RNA (519 nucleotides) under uncultured bacterium. RNAcentral's name for it is "bacterial SSU rRNA". It matches the Rfam family "Bacterial small subunit ribosomal RNA", at positions 8 to 518 of the family's 1533-position model. The record is from RNAcentral.
AGAGUUUGAUUCUGGCUCAGGAUGAACGCUAGCUACAGGCUUAACACAUGCAAGUCGAGGGGCAGCAUUGGAGUAGCAAUACUCAGAUGGCGACCGGCGCACGGGUGAGUAACACGUAUCCAACCUGCCGCUUACUCGGGGAUAGCCUUUCGAAAGAAAGAUUAAUACCCGAUGGUAUAAAGAGUUCGCAUGUUCUCUUUAUUAAAGAAUUUCGGUAAGCGAUGGGGAUGCGUUCCAUUAGAUUGUUGGCGGGGUAACGGCCCACCAAGUCUACGAUGGAUAGGGGUUCUGAGAGGAAGGUCCCCCACAUUGGAACUGAGACACGGUCCAAACUCCUACGGGAGGCAGCAGUGAGGAAUAUUGGUCAAUGGACGAGAGUCUGAACCAGCCAAAAGUAGCGUGAAGGAUGACUGCCCUAUGGGUUGUAAACUUCUUUUAUAAGGGAAUAAAGUGAGGGACGUGUCCCUUUUUGUAUGUACCUUAUGAAUAAGGAUCGGCUAACUCCGUGCCAGCCGCCGC